This 73-nucleotide transfer RNA is filed under the name Bos taurus (domestic cattle). It matches the Rfam family "tRNA". From Rfam's summary of the family: Transfer RNA (tRNA) molecules are approximately 80 nucleotides in length. The record is from Rfam by way of RNAcentral. Lineage: Eukaryota; Metazoa; Chordata; Mammalia; Artiodactyla; Bovidae. RNAcentral also lists the same sequence under 5 other names.
UCCCUGGUGGUCAAAUGACUAAGACUCUGUGCUCCUGAUGCAGGAGGCUUGGGUUCAAUCCCUGAUAAGGGAA